AAAUGGACUCUCAGCAACGGAUAUCUUGGCUCUUGCAACGAUGAAGAACGCAGCGAAAUGCGAUACCUAGUGUGAAUUGCAGAAUUCCGCGAAUCAUCGAGUUUUUGAACGCAAGUUGCGCCCGAGGCUCGUACCGAGGGCAUGUCUGUCUGAGCGUCCAU
RNAcentral lists this ribosomal RNA (161 nucleotides) under Frullania bolanderi. RNAcentral describes it as "5.8S ribosomal RNA". It matches the Rfam family "5.8S ribosomal RNA". Rfam says of the family: 5.8S ribosomal RNA (5.8S rRNA) is a component of the large subunit of the eukaryotic ribosome. It is transcribed by RNA polymerase I as part of the 45S precursor that also contains 18S and 28S rRNA. RNAcentral also lists the same sequence under 2 other names. The record is from RNAcentral. Lineage: Eukaryota; Viridiplantae; Streptophyta; Jungermanniopsida; Porellales; Frullaniaceae.